GAUAUGAUCUUUGCAGCGAUAACGGCGUUGAAGGAACGAGAGGGGUCGAGCAAGAGAGCAAUAGCUAAGUACAUAGAGAAAGCCCACACGGGAUUACCACCGACUCACUCAGCCUUGUUGACUCAUCACCUGAAGCGGUUGAAGAGCAGUGGCCUACUUGUGAUGGCGAAGAAAUCUUACAUGCUUCCUAGAUCUGACGCCUCCAACGAUAUUCAAUCUCAGUCUGAGCCGAAUCCUGUUGCCGGCUCUGCUGCCUCUUCUGUCCCUGGGCCUAAGAGGGGUCGCGGCAGGGCU
RNAcentral lists this unclassified non-coding RNA (294 nucleotides) under Hevea brasiliensis (rubber tree). The record is from RNAcentral. Lineage: Eukaryota; Viridiplantae; Streptophyta; Magnoliopsida; Malpighiales; Euphorbiaceae.